GACGAACGCUGGCGGCGUGCUUAACACAUGCAAGUCGAACGGAAAGGCCCUGCUCUUGUGGGGUGCUCGAGUGGCGAACGGGUGAGUAACACGUGAGUAACCUGCCCUUGAAUUUGGGAUAACACCAGGAAAAUGGGGCUAUUACCGGAGAGGAGCUACUGCUGCACGGGGGGGGAUGGAGAGAUUCGGCGGUUGGGGAUGGACUCGCGGCUUAUCCGCUUGUUGGUGAGGUAGUGGCUUACCAAGUCUUUGACGGGUAGCCGGCCUGAGAGGGUGACCGGCCACAUGGGGACUGAGAUACGGCCCAGACUGCUACGGUAGGCAGCAGUGGGGAAUAUGGCACAGUGGGCGGGAGCCUGAUGCGGCAGCGCCGCGUGCGGGAUGACGGCCUUCGGGUUAUAAACCGCUUUCUCCUGUGACGAAGCGUGAGUGACGGUAAUGGGUAAAGAAGCACCGGCUAACUACGUG
Molecule: ribosomal RNA, 468 nt
Filed under: uncultured bacterium
Lineage: Bacteria
Description: partial 16S ribosomal RNA
Rfam family: Bacterial small subunit ribosomal RNA
Source: RNAcentral